This 400-nucleotide long non-coding RNA is filed under the name Mytilus galloprovincialis (Mediterranean mussel). Lineage: Eukaryota; Metazoa; Mollusca; Bivalvia; Mytilida; Mytilidae. The record is from RNAcentral.
GAUUUAGCCUAAGCCGUUCGGAAUAAUUUUCGGAACUCCUUCAUAAUCAUCGUAUUACCUGGAAGAAAAAUGGCAGGAAUAAGAGGUUCGAAACAAAAUCCCUUUGCGUCUCUUAAAUAAUACUUCCCAGUAAAAACAAUGACAUAUUUAAAAGACGAAUGUAAUGACAUUCAAGUUUACAUAGUUUUAUUUUACUAUAUUAAGUACCAGCGGGUCAGGGUGCUAUGACAAUGAGUCAUUUUCUAUAGCACAGCCACAGGAUAAAUGAAUAAUAAUAUAAUAAAUACACUUUAUAACAGACAUGGUAUUAUUUGUUAAAGAUUAUAUUUUAAGUUAUCAUUGUUUGAAACAAAACUACUCAACAUUAACUUUACCAUAAAUUGUGUCCAAAAAAAUACUC